AAGAGAGUGUGAGGGAGGGAGAGAGAGUGAACUGAGAGAGAGUGAGAGGGAGAGAGGGACUAAUAAGCCCUCUAAUGUAACAAUAUCCCAGUAGGCCCCUCAACUUUUCACUCUAUGCACUGCCCUUACUGGGCGUUCUGCGCGCGGAGGGACCGGUCUCCCCGACUUGGGACCGGUCCCCGAGAGCUUCAGCUCGGGUCACGCGUUCGGGUACCGGUCUCUCCCAGAGAGAUCGGUCCUCGGGAGACCGGUUCCUCCCAAAGAGACCGGUUCCCGAGAACUGGAAUCUCAGGACUUAGCCAAUUUUUGGCUUUCCUCGCAGGGAUCACGUUCGGGAACCGGUCCCUCCCUGCCAGGGACCGGUUGCCUCAAGCAACCCCGCGACAUCAGCUGAUGAGACCGGUCCCUUCCUGCCAGGGACCGGUCCCCGAGAGCAAUUUGCUCCAGUGCAAGUUUUGCACUAUUUGCUCUCGUGGACUUAUUCCAAUGCACCCUUGGUGAUCUUAACAUCUUUGGCUUUUCCAAAGCUUAUCAACACGACCCUUGGUCGGUUUUACAUGAAGUCUAACUCUCGUAUUUCGAGAAUUCACUUCCUCACACCAUCCCUGGCUGUAAAUCCAUAGCUAGUGAAGUCACCCCUUUACCUUGGCAUUAGGUGACAUCCCCGUAUAUCCCCGGCUAUAGGAUUAUAGUUAGCAACUUUAUCUCUUGCACCUUCACCUUGGCAUUAGGUGGCAUUCCGCACGCCCCUAGCCUUAGGUUUCGAGAUUCCGGAAUCACCUCAUUCAUGGUCUCAAGUGUCCAUAUGUUUUUCACCCUAUGUUGUCAACUUUUCUAAGUUCAAGUCAUAUUAUCCAAGUGGUAUCCUACCUACUAUAUUUUCCAACCUAUGUUUAAUAGUACUAUGUGUUCUAGUGUUCACAUAUUGAGUUCUUUAAUGUUACUAGAGAAUGUCUGUCACGCCCCGAGACCGCUACCAAUUUGGUCCGGCCCGGGCGCGUCGAACAAACGCCGAACGGACAGGACCUCCCCUGCCCGCCCAAGGCUAACCACUGAUCAUGUAUAAGAAUUUACCUAGGAGUUAAUUCAUAGAUACACGAUUACAAGGAGCACCACCAGUGCUAACAAACAAGAGCAAGGUACAAGUAUGAAACAUACAAGUAGAUAAAGAGAGAAGAUUCUAUCUAUUACAUUCAUUCAACUUAAUACAUUUAGUUCCAUCUUUUACAUUCUUCCAAAAUAUAAAUACAAGCACUCAAGUCUCACCCUAUACAGCAUCUACUCUCAAACAUACAUACAGGGUGGAGCUAAUGCAAAAUAGGUGGAUAGCUAAUGCAACUAGGGUGCUAGGCCCUUACUGCGAUCCUCGCGCUCACCUGGGACGCCCGAGCUCGAACCUGAAAAGAGUGGGGUGAGAACUAUCUUCCAUAGUUCCCAGUGGGUUCGGCCGCCGACUUCGCCGGUCUCCCCACUAGGUCCAAGUGGGCACAAGUAGAUAAACAAAUAGAUAGAUAUAAAAGCUGUAGAAACAGAUAGUAAGCUACUCUACUGUGCCCGAAUCAUGAAUAUAAUGGAUGCAUGCACAAUGAAAUAGAUAAUCAACUAGCUCUUCAUAUGUCCAAGAAGUAAAGCUAUUUACUCGUUUAUUAACCUCGUGGCUCAUUCAGGAUUCCGCCUACUACUCAUAUAGCCGUCUCGAUACUACGAAUCCGAGACCGUCUGCGGGACCCCACCUAGGCUAUCCCUCGGGACCCCAAAUAGGCUAUCCCUAUCCCACGGGACCCCACAUAGGCUAUCCCUCGUGACCGAUUCCGGAGCGCACUACUUGUGUGGAGCGACCAUCACAAGUUGGGAGCAGACAAUGAGUAUGAUCCAAUUCUCCCACCUCAAGGGUGCCCUAUCUUCUAGGGUUACUGUCACCAUAGUCAAUGGGUCCCAUAUACGCUACAACUCAUACAUGCCACUCGUUUUUUGUUUAUUAACAACUAGAUGCCACUCGUUCUUUAUUUCAACUAUUGCAUCGUUCUUUCACUGCUGCACUAUAGGAUCACAAGUCUCGACCCAAUCCUCAUCAUCCCCUAUAUCCAGCAACUAAUGCAUAAUCUGAUAUCAGCUAGGAAACAUAAGGAAAGGCAAUUGCAUAAUUCUCCUACAAUGCAUGUGAACACAGGAUGCAAGAUCUCAAAAUACUAAGACAUAAAAGGGAGCCCGAUUGUUUCGGGAUAGACACCACCCACCUCUUGGCGAUGCCGCGACGGUAGAAAACUCGACGCUGUGGUCUUUGCACGUCGCUUCAACUCCUCGAGGCGAAGCGAGCCCUCAAGUACUCGUUUCGGCGAUUUCUCCGCACUCGCUCGUCGGAUCGACAAACCGUCUUCGCCGACGCGUUCCGAGACCUAGCAAUUUGGUUUACGACCUAUUAAAAUAGAUCAAAAUCCUAGAUUUCCAAAAAUCCCAAAUCCGUGCCCUAGAAUGGCAAUGAGGGGGAAAUCCGUGGUGCGAGCUUCAAAUUCGAGCUCGAACCUUCCAUUCAUCUCCUCUAGGUUCCAUUCGAACCAUUUCUAAGCAAUAAAAUCCCCAAACCCUAAAAACACCAUUAGAGGAUUUAGAGCUUACCUCUAAGCCAUGCUCCAAUCUUGCUCUAGCUUGAAGGAGAGAGGGAAGAAGAUCUUCUUCUUCUUCUUUGUCUUCUCCUUCCUCUUCUUCUUUUCCUCCCUUUUCUUCCUUUCCUUCUUCUUCUCCUUCUUUUCCUUUCUAGAGAGAGAGAGGGAAAGAGUGUGAGAGAGAGAUAGAGAGCAAAUGAGAGGAAGAGGGGUUCCCCAGCCUCUAUUAAAGGCCAUUUUGCAAAUAGCCCCCUCAACUUUUCAUCCUCUGAAUCAGCCCUCACUGGGCAUUUUCGCAGUGAGGGACCGGUCCCAGGUCGGGGAGACCGGUCCCCGAGAGCAUUCCAUCUCGGGCAGAGGGAUUUCGCGUUCGGGAACCGGUCCUCGCCCGAGAGACCGGUCCCCGGGAGACCGGUCCU
This 3022-nucleotide long non-coding RNA is filed under the name Ananas comosus (pineapple). RNAcentral's name for it is "long non-coding RNA (ACOM_LNC021162)". The record is from RNAcentral. Lineage: Eukaryota; Viridiplantae; Streptophyta; Magnoliopsida; Poales; Bromeliaceae.